This is a long non-coding RNA of Clupea harengus (Atlantic herring), 110 nucleotides long. RefSeq lists it as uncharacterized. Lineage: Eukaryota; Metazoa; Chordata; Actinopteri; Clupeiformes; Clupeidae. The transcript is spliced from 2 exons. The record is from RefSeq and is a predicted model, not a curated record.
UCAAGGUCGACGCCCCCUGAAGGCUGUACCUGCCAUGGCGUGGAUCUCAACAGGAACUUCAAUGCAAACUGGGGCACUGUGGGGGUGUCCAGAGACUGCUGCCACAACAC